UCUUUCUUAUUUUAAGAAGAAAAAUAAAUCUUGUUCUUAGGUUUGUCUAAGCUCCACAAUUUCCUGAAAUUCACCUUUCACCCUUGAAAAAUGAGAAAUACACUGUAUACUAAAGCUAAGUUCCCUCCAAUUCUAUCUGGCUUCUCUUGACUAACAGGAAAAAGAUGACCCGGGAUGAGAAAGAAGUUGGCAAAGUAUACAAAAGGGUCAGGCAGUGUCCCACACUGCAGAAUGGGCUAGCUGACCACCCACACCCACAAGCUGGGUCCAUGGCUCUCACAUUGCUCUGAAGUCCAGUAUGUUCUGGCCUGGGCCCUGGUUCCUUCCUAACACACAGACUGUCCAAGACCCAACUUGGCUCUUAAAUUUCUUCCUCUGAGACUUUG
This 386-nucleotide long non-coding RNA is filed under the name Homo sapiens (human). RNAcentral's name for it is "HSALNT0115626". Lineage: Eukaryota; Metazoa; Chordata; Mammalia; Primates; Hominidae. The record is from RNAcentral.